GACGAACGCUGGCGGCGUGCUUAACACAUGCAAGUCGAACGGAAAGGCCCUGCUUGCAGGGUACUCGAGUGGCGAACGGGUGAGUAACACGUGGGUGAUCUGCCCUGCACUUCGGGAUAAGCCUGGGAAACUGGGUCUAAUACCUGAUAGGAGCCAUUUUUAGUGUGAUGGUUGGAAAGUUUUUUCGGUGUAGGAUGAGCUCGCGGCCUAUCAGCUUGUUGGUGGGGUAAUGGCCUACCAAGGCGGCGACGGGUAGCCGGCCUGAGAGGGUGGACGGCCACACUGGGACUGAGAUACGGCCCAGACUCCUACGGGAGGCAGCAGUGGGGAAUAUUGCACAAUGGGCGCAAGCCUGAUGCAGCGACGCCGCGUGGGGGAUGACGGCCUUCGGGUUGUAAACUCCUUUCGCUAGGGACGAAGCUUUUUGUGACGGUACCUAGAUAAGAAGCACCGGCUAACUACGUG
RNAcentral lists this ribosomal RNA (465 nucleotides) under uncultured bacterium. RNAcentral describes it as "partial 16S ribosomal RNA". It matches the Rfam family "Bacterial small subunit ribosomal RNA", at positions 28 to 507 of the family's 1533-position model. The record is from RNAcentral.